Molecule: ribosomal RNA, 1406 nt
Filed under: uncultured bacterium
Lineage: Bacteria
Description: bacterial SSU rRNA
Rfam family: Bacterial small subunit ribosomal RNA
Source: RNAcentral
AGAGUUUGAUCCUGGCUCAGGAUGACCUCUAGCGACAGGCUUAACACAUGCAAGUCGAGGGGCAGCGGGGGUGAUGGCUUGCCAUCACCUGCCGGCGACCGGCGCACGGGUGAGUAACACGUAUGCAACCUGCCCGCCACAGGGGGGAUAAGCGGAAGAAAUUCCGUCUAAUACCGCGUGACGCGGCGUCGGGGCAUCCCGGUGCCGCCAAAGGGAUUACCGGUGGCGGAUGGGCAUGCGGCGCAUUAGCUAGUCGGCGGGGUAACGGCCCACCGAGGCGACGAUGCGUAGGGGUUCUGAGAGGAAGGUCCCCCACACUGGUACUGAGACACGGACCAGACUCCUACGGGAGGCAGCAGUGAGGAAUAUUGGUCAAUGGGCGGGAGCCUGAACCAGCCAAGUCGCGUGAGGGAUGACGGUCCUACGGAUUGUAAACCUCUUUUGCCGGGGAGCAAGCGUGCGUUCGUGAACGCGCGUCGAGAGUACCCGGAGAAAAAGCAUCGGCUAACUCCGUGCCAGCAGCCGCGGUAAUACGGAGGAUGCGAGCGUUAUCCGGAUUUAUUGGGUUUAAAGGGUGCGUAGGCGGGAUGCCAAGUCAGCGGUAAAAAUGCGGUGCUCAACGCCGUCGAGCCGUUGAAACUGGCGUUCUUGAGUGGGCGAGAGGUAUGCGGAAUGCGUGGUGUAGCGGUGAAAUGCAUAGAUAUCACGCAGAACUCCGAUUGCGAAGGCAGCAUACCGGCGCCCUACUGACGCUGAGGCACGAAAGCGUGGGUAUCGAACAGGAUUAGAUACCCUGGUAGUCCACGCAGUAAACGAUGAAUGCUAACUGUCCGGUGCGAGUGAGCGCUGGGCGGUACAGCGAAAGCGUUAAGCAUUCCACCUGGGGAGUACGCCGGCAACGGUGAAACUCAAAGGAAUUGACGGGGGCCCGCACAAGCGGAGGAACAUGUGGUUUAAUUCGAUGAUACGCGAGGAACCUUACCCGGGCUCAAACGCAGGAUGACGGGUCCCGAAAGGGGCCUUUCUUCGGACAUUCUGCGAGGUGCUGCAUGGUUGUCGUCAGCUCGUGCCGUGAGGUGUCGGCUUAAGUGCCAUAACGAGCGCAACCCCUGUCCACAGUUGCCAGCAGGUAAAGCUGGGGACUCUGUGGAGACUGCCGGCGCAAGCUGCGAGGAAGGCGGGGAUGACGUCAAAUCAGCACGGCCCUUACGUCCGGGGCGACACACGUGUUACAAUGGCAGGUACAGCGGGAUGCCACGGGGCGACCCGGCGCUGAACCCGAAAACCUGUCUCAGUUCGGAUUGGAGUCUGCAACCCGACUCCAUGAAGCUGGAUUCGCUAGUAAUCGCGCAUCAGCCACGGCGCGGUGAAUACGUUCCCGGGCCUUGUACACAACGCCCGUCAAG